Molecule: unclassified non-coding RNA, 184 nt
Filed under: uncultured fungus
Lineage: Eukaryota; Fungi
Description: partial contains 18S rRNA, ITS1, 5.8S rRNA, ITS2 and 28S rRNA
Source: RNAcentral
AAGGAUCAUUAACGUGGGGCUCCGGCCCUGCUGAGAUAGAACCCUUGCCCUUUUGAGUACUACAUGUUUCCUCGGCAGGCCCGCCUGCCAACGGGGACCCAAACACAAACCCUUGAACCACCCGUCACAGUCUGAGAAAACAAGCAAAUAAUCAAAACUUUCAACAACGGAUCUCUUGGUUCUG